UCCUCCAGAGCAAACAGAGGUUUCCUUUUCUGCUGGUCUUGGUUUCUGGGAAGGGUCAGCUUCAAAAGGUACUGUUUAAGUUAUGAGGAAACAGCAGCGAACAAACUGGAAAUCUCUAUACUGUUGGAGCUUGCGCUCUUCAGGAGGCAG
Choloepus didactylus (southern two-toed sloth) is the source of this 150-nucleotide long non-coding RNA. RefSeq lists it as uncharacterized. The record is from RefSeq and is a predicted model, not a curated record. NCBI's taxonomy places the organism in Eukaryota, Metazoa, Chordata, Mammalia, Pilosa, Megalonychidae. The transcript is spliced from 3 exons.